This is a transfer RNA of Lucilia cuprina (Australian sheep blowfly), 98 nucleotides long. It matches the Rfam family "tRNA". From Rfam's summary of the family: Transfer RNA (tRNA) molecules are approximately 80 nucleotides in length. The record is from Rfam. Lineage: Eukaryota; Metazoa; Arthropoda; Insecta; Diptera; Calliphoridae.
CCUUCGAUAGCUCAGUUGGUAGAGCGGUGGACUGUAGAGUUAUCAUCAAAUCUUAAGUAGAAAUCCAUAGGUCGCUGGUUCAAAUCCGGCUCGAAGGA